RNAcentral lists this ribosomal RNA (222 nucleotides) under uncultured bacterium. RNAcentral's name for it is "partial 16S ribosomal RNA". It matches the Rfam family "Bacterial small subunit ribosomal RNA", at positions 109 to 334 of the family's 1533-position model. The record is from RNAcentral.
AGUAAUGUCUGGGAAACUGCCUGAUGGAGGGGGAUAACUACUGGAAACGGUAGCUAAUACCGCAUAAUGUCGCAAGACCAAAGUGGGGGACCUUCGGGCCUCUUGCCAUCAGAUGUGCCCAGAUGGGAUUAGCUAGUAGGUGGGGUAACGGCUCACCUAGGCGACGAUCCCUAGCUGGUCUGAGAGGAUGACCAGCCACACUGGAACUGAGCCACGGUCCAG